This 55-nucleotide transfer RNA is filed under the name Staphylinidae sp. BMNH 1274248. Its description in RNAcentral is "tRNA-Phe". The record is from RNAcentral. Lineage: Eukaryota; Metazoa; Arthropoda; Insecta; Coleoptera; Staphylinidae.
ACUUAAAUAGCUUAUAAUAGAGCAUAAUAUUGAAGAUAUUAAGGAAAUAAAAUUA